This 698-nucleotide ribosomal RNA is filed under the name uncultured Pleosporales. RNAcentral describes it as "eukaryotic LSU rRNA". The stretch from base 261 to 698 matches the Rfam family "Eukaryotic large subunit ribosomal RNA", at positions 1 to 436 of the family's 3401-position model. Lineage: Eukaryota; Fungi; Ascomycota; Dothideomycetes; Pleosporales. The record is from RNAcentral.
CGAAAUGCGAUAAGUAGUGUGAAUUGCAGAAUUCAGUGAAUCAUCGAAUCUUUGAACGCACAUUGCGCCCUUUGGUAUUCCUUAGGGCAUGCCUGUUCGAGCGUCAUUUGAACCCUCAAGCUCUGCUUGGUGUUGGGCGCCUGUCCCGCCUCUGGCGUGGACUCGCCUCGAAGACAUUGGCGGUUGGUGCAUCGGCCGGAAGCGCAGCACAUAGCGCGACCCGCUCUUCACCCUCCCUCCAGGAAGCCAAACUCACACCUUGACCUCGGAUCAGGUAGGGAUACCCGCUGAACUUAAGCAUAUCAAUAAGCGGAGGAAAAGAAACCAACAGGGAUUGCCCUAGUAACGGCGAGUGAAGCGGCAACAGCUCAAAUUUGAAAUCUGGCCUCUUUGGGGUCCGAGUUGUAAUUUGCAGAGGGUGCUUUGGCGUUGGCAUCGGCCUAAGUUCCUUGGAACAGGGCGUCGCAGAGGGUGAGAACCCCGUACGUGGCCGCCUGCCUUCGCCGUGUAAAGCCCCUUCGACGAGUCGAGUUGUUUGGGAAUGCAGCUCUAAAUGGGAGGUAAAUUUCUUCUAAAGCUAAAUACUGGCCAGAGACCGAUAGCGCACAAGUAGAGUGAUCGAAAGAUGAAAAGCACUUUGGAAAGAGAGUCAAAAAGCACGUGAAAUUGUUGAAAGGGAAGCGCUUGCAUGCUAUCGA